Molecule: transfer RNA, 76 nt
Filed under: Mycoplasmataceae bacterium
Lineage: Bacteria; Bacillati; Mycoplasmatota; Mollicutes; Mycoplasmatales; Mycoplasmataceae
Description: tRNA-Lys
Rfam family: tRNA
About the family: Transfer RNA (tRNA) molecules are approximately 80 nucleotides in length.
Source: RNAcentral
GUUCCGUUAGCUCAGCUGGUAGAGCAAGAGACUCUUAAUCUCUGGGUCGCGGGUUCGAAUCCCUCACGGAGCACCA